UUGAACGCUGGCGGCAUGCCUUACACAUGCAAGUCGAACGGUAACAGGUCUUCGGAUGCUGACGAGUGGCGAACGGGUGAGUAAUACAUCGGAACGUGCCCGAUCGUGGGGGAUAACGCAGCGAAAGCUGUGCUAAUACCGCAUACGAUCUACGGAUGAAAGCGGGGGAUCGCAAGACCUCGCGCGAUAGGAGCGGCCGAUAUCGGAUUAGCUAGUUGGUGAGGUAAAGGCUCACCAAGGCGACGAUCCGUAGCUGGUCUGAGAGGACGACCAGCCACACUGGAACUGAGACACGGUCCAGACUCCUACGGGAGGCAGCAGUGGGGAAUUUUGGACAAUGGGCGCAAGCCUGAUCCAGCCAUUCCGCGUGAGUGAAGAAGGCCUUCGGGUUGUAAAGCUCUUUCAGGAGGGAAGAAACGGUUACGGAUAAUACCUGUGACUAAUGACGGUACCUUCAGAAGAAGCACCGGCUAACUACGU
RNAcentral lists this ribosomal RNA (480 nucleotides) under uncultured bacterium. RNAcentral describes it as "bacterial SSU rRNA". It matches the Rfam family "Bacterial small subunit ribosomal RNA", at positions 30 to 506 of the family's 1533-position model. The record is from RNAcentral.